GCCGCCUUAGCUCAGUGGUUAGAGCAUCUGUUUUGUAAACAGAGGGUCGUCGGUUCGAAUCCGACAGGCGGCUCCA
This 76-nucleotide transfer RNA is filed under the name bacterium. RNAcentral's name for it is "tRNA-Thr". It matches the Rfam family "tRNA". Rfam says of the family: Transfer RNA (tRNA) molecules are approximately 80 nucleotides in length. The record is from RNAcentral.